UUAUUGUCAUCUUGAGCACACAAGCACUCAUAACCUUGGGGACAGAACAGAUGAGGUGAGUGGACCACGCAGAUCUUUGACUUCAAACUCAAAGGGAGCUCAGACCAUGGAGUCAUUCUGCAGCGAUGAUUCUAAGGAAUGCAUUACCAUCAUACAGGUCCUAAAUAAACUCACAUAACCAGGGCUUGCAGGGUAUCUGUAGAGGAGAGGCCCAGUCAAGGAGUAAGGGACUUUAAUAAAUGUAAACUCUUCGUCCUUUCAGAAGCUCUUGGCUGCCCACAUAGGCAUUGCUUCAGUAAUGCUUUGCCAGUUGCUACAGCCGUAACUGCACAAAAUUGUUAUAUCAGCAGCCGUCUGUCAAAAAACCUCAUUGUUAAGGUGCAUCCAAGGUCAUGACAAUGCCAAGGCUGUCUAUUAAGAAUUGCAACAGGCCACAUUGCUGACCCAUCAGCAAGAAUCAGUAUGUGUGGAGAAGUAGCACAGGCCAGAAAGAGUUUCGGCCAGACAGUUGAACCCCGGCAGAGCUCUAUGUUACCUGCCAGGGAGAGCCAAGUCCUGGCUCUUAGAAAAGCUGCUCUCUCCAUUUGCAAGCAGAGACAGGGCACCCAGGAGGGGCCCCAGGAGGCUGGGAGUAUGCUCAGGCAAAAGUGAAACUCAAACCCUGAAAGCUAAGCCCCAAAUCCAAAUAUGCUGUUACGCAAAGCGUCCACAGAUUGGCUCGUGCUUGGUUAUCGUAUGAGGUUACUUGUUGGCAUGUACUGCGCAAUUCUCUGGCAUGCCCGUGGCUCAUCAGUGGCAUUCCUUCUUGAGUCAACACUGACCCGCAGCCUGGCUCAGGGAGGACACUUCAGCCUCGUCCAAGAGGCCAUCAUUUUACGUGAAACCUAAAGCGCACAGUCCUGUUGUGCUGGCGUCAUCCUGUUUGGCUUUUUAUCUCCAAGGAUGACCUGGUGAGUAGAUCCAAAGAGUGCUUGAAAGGCUUAAGGAAAUAUCCUGGGGGUUGCACCUAACUGUUGAAGUGGUAAAGAGUUAUCUGGCAUCACCUGGAUGGAUGCCAAAAGUUACAAUCCGGGCCAGGACUUCGGAGGCCAAGAGAGAUGGCAUCUCUCACGGGAGCAGCGUUAGGCCAAUUACAAUGUUCAGCAUUUUCCCAGCACUUGGAGUUCAGAGCUCUUUGCAAUCAGUUUGUUUCUUUAGCUGAGUUUCUUAAACACACACUACCCCUUGUGGAGCUCUCUGGGCCUCCACCCAAAAGCUAAAGGAUACAAAGAGGAAGAAGAAAAGACUGCACAGCCGACUCUACCCAAAGGGAGAAACCAAGCCAAACAUUUCAGCCUUGCGUUGUUCUCCAAAAGCCUGUCAAUACUUACAAUAGGGGGACCAGGAAGAGCCAAAAUGUGCAGCAAUAGAAGGCUGGCUCUGUAGAGGGUGGAAAAAAAACAAGCGGUCAUUAAAAUCAAGCUGUAGAUUAUAGAGGAAACUUUAAUGAUGUGGAAAAAUAUAAACAAGAGAUUGUCAAGUGAGGGGAGUUGUAAGACAGCAUGCAUGUCUGGUUGUAUUUUGUAAAUACAGAAUACAUACUUUCUGCUUGAUGUGCACAUCCGGAAAAACAACAGUAAAAGUAUAAGUUAAAAUGCUGAUAGAAAUACUUACAGGUAAGGAUUGAUGAAUGAGAGUUUUUAAAUUUAUUUUCCUCCAAAUUAUUUACAGUUUCAACACUUAUUUUUUAUUUUAAAGAUUUUUAAUAUUAAAAAAUAUACUCAUAGUAUUCAGGUCAAAAAAUACAGGAAUUUGCCCCCUUUUCCUCUAAUAUAACUGGGACCCACUUUCCUUCCUUUGUUUGUUUGUUUCUUUCUUUUCACUUCUUCACAUUUUAUCUUUUGAGUUUGAGCCUUACAAAGUAACCUAAGUUAGCUUUGAACUCUUUUUUAUUUUUUUAAGAUUUUAUUUAUUUAUUAUUAUACAACAUUCUGCUUCCAUGUAUAUCUGCACACCAGAAGACGGCACCAGAUCUCAUAGCGGAUGCUUGUGAGUCACCAUGUGGUUGCUGGGAAUUGAACUCAGGACCUCUGGAAGAGCAGUCAGUGCUCUUAACCUCUGAGCCAUCUCUCCAGCCCCAGCUUUGAACUCUUGACCAUCCUGCUUCAGCACCCAAGUGUGUGAUAACAGGAGAAAGGAGCAUAUCACAAUCUUUCUUUUUCUUGCUAAGUCAGUCUGCGGGAUCUCCAGCUAGUGGAAACGGGAGUAGCUUCCACAAAUUUCUUGCUGAAGGCAGAAAGUGGAAUGAGAAGUAUCAGGACUGGAAGGGAAUGCACAUUGAUGGGAUGUAACUUUUCCUGAUUCUGAAGUGUUGAGAAGAUGAAGGUAUAAAGUCUAAGCCUUCCAACCCCAUGUCCAGAGUUGUUCUCACUGUACCACACUACACAGUACUAUUCAAAAGAGCUAUUUUGCUGAUGUUUUAUUUCAGUCUUAGCAUCCCUGGAGGGAUCUGGGGGAGACCAUCCCCUUAUUAUAUGGAUAAUACUUGCUGACACAUGCUAGGCUUUGGGUACCACUUAUGAAGCCAAGCUAUUUCUUGUGAAUAUCUCACAUGUUCUCACAUGAACUCUUGGGGGUUGUGCCUAUUUUACAGACAAAAAAAAAAAAAAGGAAACUUGGGAACACUGAGCAAUUAUCAGGGAACCCACAGCUAAGACAUGAUGGAGCCAAGACUUGAACCUAUACUUAGAUACAGUUCCAGAGUUUAAAAGAGCUCACAUCUUACAGGAUCAACCAAGGGUGAUGGUAGAACAUGAAGACUUCUUAUCUAUUUGGUUAGGCUCUUCAAAGCAGCAAGGAAAGAGUGCAUGCACCUGGAUCCUCCUCGCCAAUAAGGAAACCCAGAGUGCCAUCUCUUUAAGUGAGACACGUAUCAGAACAUGGCAUCGACCCCAGAAAUUGCACAGAGCCAGAGUGUCCCCAGCAUCAACACCUUUCAGGAGAGAAACUGAAUUCAUUUGCCAACAACCAACUCCAUCGGACAGUGCCAGAAAGUACGGGACUGCUUGCGUUCAUUUCUUCGAGAUGAGUCAGGGUUGCAGGGUGUCGAUGAUUAGAUGUAAAUGUUAAACCAAAAGCCCAUGGUGGUCACUUUGGCUUUCCUUCUGUGGAAAUCCAGCUUCUCACUUGGGGGGAAGGGGUUGUGUUACAUGUGAUAUUGGCAUGUUGCUCUGGUUUCCUGAAGCCCCCAUUUUUUGGGUCUCUCUGUGCCCUUCCCAUAUACACAAACACAUUUUCAGGUAAAACAUCUGGAAGGUCCUAUUUCAAAAGAGCAUGGCCAAGAAAAUCUUUCCAUUUGUAAAAAUAAUGUAAACCCUUUAGACUGUAAUGUCCUGCAGAGCAGGGGAAUUAUACAACAGCAAUAAAAUUGUCAGCUUUCAAUAAUCAGCCACAUUUUUUAUGGUAUUUUGUCACUGGGAAAGCACUUUUUAAUAAUCA
Molecule: long non-coding RNA, 3477 nt
Filed under: Cricetulus griseus (Chinese hamster)
Lineage: Eukaryota; Metazoa; Chordata; Mammalia; Rodentia; Cricetidae
Description: lncRNA (ENSCGRG00015037442.1)
Source: RNAcentral